CAGAGGGUGCGAGCGUUGUCCGGAAUCACUGGGCGUAAAGGGCGCGUAGGUGGCGGCCCAAGUCCAUGGUGAAAGCUCGCCGCUUAACGGCGAGUCGGCCACGGAUACUGGGUUGCUCGAGCACUGUAGGGGCAGAUGGAAUUCCGGGUGUAGCGGUGGAAUGCGUAGAGAUCCGGAAGAACACCAGUGGCGAAGGCGGUCUGCUGGGCAGUUGCUGACACUGAUGCGCGACAGCGUGGGGAGCAAACAGGAUUAGAUACCCUGGUAGUCCACGCCGUAAACGAUGGGCACUAGAUGCUUGGGGGAGCGACCCCCUGAGUGUCGUCGCUAACGCAGUAAGUGCCCCGCCUGGGGAGUACGGCCGCAAGGCUG
Molecule: ribosomal RNA, 372 nt
Filed under: uncultured organism
Description: bacterial SSU rRNA
Rfam family: Bacterial small subunit ribosomal RNA
Source: RNAcentral